UUUAAAUGAAAACUCUUAUUUUAACCUGUAGAACAGAUAUAACACAAGUCACAAUAGCACAGUCUCAUUCCCCCGUCUUGCUUCUACCCUGCCUUUGAGGGACCACAUCUAAGGAUGAAAGGAUGGUUAAUCGUCCAUGAUUCAGUCCUUGGCCUCU
Molecule: small RNA, 157 nt
Filed under: Chrysemys picta bellii (western painted turtle)
Lineage: Eukaryota; Metazoa; Chordata; Testudines; Emydidae
Description: TUC338 (ENSCPBG00000000852.1)
Source: RNAcentral